AUUAGCUGUAGAAGCAUCUUGUAGUAGUUUAUACGCACUACGUACUGAAAACUCACCAGAUAGUUCUCCACUCCACACCUGAAUAUCCUCAUGUUCGGUCUCUGCCAGAGGAAUUUGUAGAAUCUUCCGAGCAGUAUCUUCUUGAAAGGUACUUUUAAUUAAGUCUGACUUCCAUUUUCUACUUGAAUUGUCAAUGAGGUCNNNNNNNNNNNNNNNNNNNNNNNNNNNNNNNNNNNNNNNNNNNNNNNNNNNNNNNNNNNNNNNNNNNNNNNNNNNNNNNNNNNNNNNNNNNNNNNNNNNNUGUGCUAUUAAGCUCAGCCACCUUGUCAAUCCCCUGAAUCCAGUUGUCUUCCCAGAUAGAAAUGCUACUCCCUUUACCAACUCUCCAACCCAAUCCUCUUUGGAGAAGUCCUUUUGCCCCCCAGAUGCUCUUCCAGGUAAAUGAAGGUAAAUUCCCCAACUCUGCGUUUAAAAAACUGGACUGUGGAAAAUAUUUAGCCUUCAAAACUCUGGCUAAUAAAGAAUUUGGGAAAUUAAUGAGACUCCAACCUUGUUUAGCUAAUAACGCAAUAUUAAAUUGACUAAGAUCUCGAAAGCCUAGACCACCAUUUUCUUUUAACGAACAAAGGUUUUUCCAAGUGCACCAAUGAGUUCCCCUUUUGCCCCCUCCUUUUUGCCACCAGAAUCUUGCUAUAAUACUCUCCAUUUCAUCACAAAGAGCUCUCGGCAGUAAGAAACAUGCCAUAGAAUAAGUCGGAAUAGCUUGCAAAAUGGCCUUUAUAAAAAUUUCUUUCCCUCCUUGUGAUAAAAAUCUGUUGCUCCAGUUAUCAAUACGUUUUUUGAUUCGAUCCUUUAAACUCUGAAAAGAUUCUUUUUUCUUUCGCCCCACCAUAUUCGGUAGCCCUAGAUAUCGUUCAGGUUCACUAGUCCUACGUACCCCCAACACAUCAACCACUUGUCCCCUAUCCUCCUCCAACGUGUUUUUACUAAAGAAUACCGUUGAUUUAUCAAAAUUUACACAUUGUCCCGAGCAAACUUUGAAUUCACACAAAAUAUCCUUUAUGAUGUUUGCACCCCUGCUAGUUGCCUCUCCAAACAGUAUGCAGUCAUCAGCAAAUAAAAGAUGAGAUACCUGUGGACCGUAUCUACUCACCCGUACACCUUUGAGACGAUCUCUCUUCAUUGCUAACCUCAGCAAGCUCGAUAAACCUUCACCACAUAUCAGGAAUAAAAACGGGCUUAAUGGGUCCCCUUGUCUAAGUCCUCUGGUUGGUACAAAUUUAUCUCCUCUGUACCCAUUUAUGACAACUGAAUAAGCAACAGAUGACACACAUUUCAUAAUGGCAUUUACCCAACUAAAAUCAAACCCCAUCUUUUUCAUGACCUCCUCUAUAAGUUUCCAUUCUACCCUGUCAUAAGCUUUACUCAUAUCGAGUUUAACGGCCAUAAAUCCUUUUUUCCCCGUUCUCUUUUGCUUUAACUUGUGCAAUAUUUCGUAAGUGAGUAAUACAUUAUCUGAUAUUAACCUGCCUGGCACAAAAGCACUUUGCGCUUCAUCAAUACAUUUGCCAAUAACACUUCGAAAUCUGUUUGCAAGUACCUUUGCAAUAAUUUUGUAAAGUACAUUGCAUAGACUAAUUGGCCUAAAUUGCAUCAUAGUUGAUGGAUUGCUGACUUUGGGAAUAAGCACUAUAUUUGUGGUAUUUAUUGGACUAAUCUCCAUAUUUCCGUUUAAAAUUUGUAGACAAAAAGAUAGGACGUCAUCCCCAACAAUCUGCCAACACUUCUGAUAGAAUAAUGCUGGAAACCCAUCCUCCCCUGGUGCUUUUGUAGGUCCCAUUUCAAAAACAGCUUCUCUAAUUUCCUCUCUGGAAUAUGGUUCUGUAAGUUUUCGGUUGUCAUCCGCAUGAAUGCAGCGUUCUAUCCCUGAUAGAAUAUGAUCAUAAUUCCCAUUCUCUCUUGCCGAAAAUAAAUUCUGAAAAUAAGACUUAGCCACACCCUCAAUGUCUUGAAUGAGCUCCAUUUCUCUACCCUCUUCAUCUUUCAGCUUAUGAAUGAUAUUCUUUUUUCUCCGUUGUGAAGCUUGGCUAUGAAAGAAAGCAGUAUUUUUGUCCCCUAAUUUCAACCAGUUAAUUCUAGCUCUCUGUUCCCAAUAGCAUUCGUCCUUCUCAAUCUCAAAAUUCAAGUUUAUUUUUGUAUCAAUCAAUUCAGCUAAGGUCUCUUCAUUUCUGGUUGCUUCAGCUAACUCGCCAAGUUUCUUCGUAAGCAUCUGUUUUGUCUUCUGCCUAUUUUUUUUAACUGCCCAGCCCAAAUCUGCAAUCCUUUCUUUAAAUUAUCUAGCCUCUUUAAUAUUUCCUCUGACGAAUUCUCCCAUAGUUUUUUGACUUCUUCCAUGAAAGAUUCUUCCAACAGCCACCAUGCUUCAAAUCUGAAAUUGUUAUCCCUUACUCGUUCUGCAAAUCUCCUGGUAUUAAUAAGAAGAGGACAAUGGUCUGAAAAUCAAUGAGCAAGAUGUUGAACUUUAAUUUCUGGAAACAUAACAAUCCAAUUUGUGUUAGCUACUCCUCUGUCCAAACGUUCUUGGAUGUUCGUCUCUGGUAAGUUGCCUCUCUCCCAAGUAAAACGCCUGCCCUCAAAACCCACAUCAUUCAAUCGGCAUUCCUCUAAUGUUUUCCUAAAAAUUUCCAUCCUUCUUUCAUCCCUAGGUAACCCUCCUUUUUUUUCAAAUCCAUACAUAAUUUCAUUGAAGUCUCCGCAAACCAACCAAGGGGUUUCUCUAUCAUUAGCUAAACUUUUCAAAACCUCCCACGAAUCAUUCCUAUCCUGUAUGUAUGGGGAACCAUAAAAUCCUGUAAAUCUCCAAUUAAUUCAUUUUUCCUUAUCUUCAACGAUCACAUCAAUAUGUCUUUUAGAGUAACUACGAAGCAUAACUUCAAUGUCAGUUCGCCAAGCUAAGCACAACCCUCCUCUCGUACCUUCAGAUUCCACUUCGAUUCCAUUUGCGAAACCACACCUCCUGUGAGUAAUUUCCAUUUGUUUCUUAUUAAUUUUAGUCUCCAUAAAGAAGACUAUUUGGGGAUUAUUAAUUUUCAUUGUGCCCGGUCGGCAUGCUUUUUGGCAGCCGCCGAUAUUAGAGAAUGUACGCCUUCCAUCUCCCCUCUAUUUCUCCUUUUUCCUUCCUCCCCUAUUAAAGUUUCAUCUUCCAAAUCAUGCUCCAUAGCCAUUUGCAUCUGAUAAGACCAGAUUUUAUUUCUCUGUUGUUCUUCAUGUGUUGCCCUCCCCUCAAGGCUAAUCCCUAAUUUGGAUCAAUAGCUUUGCCCCUCUUUCCUUUUGAAGCCUCAUUCUGCUCGUUUAACCCGUCAAACCUACUCUCCAUCCAGCCUUCUCCAAGUUUCCCUUCCCCCUCCUCUCGUAGCCAAAUGCUAUUCAUUGAUAGAGCUCUUCGAGAUGGUGCCCGUAAUGUUAAAUCCCAUCCCAUUUCAGCAAUCUCCCCUCCAACCCUCAUUCUCUCUUCACAGAAAGAGUCAUUAUGACCUAAACGUCCACAGAAAAAACAAAACAGCGAUAGACGCUCAUACUUAAAUUUAACAUAUGAGCAUAUCCCACCAAACAUAAUCUGUUUCUUUCUUUUCAAAGGUUUCCUAAUAUCAAUCUGCACUCUUAUUCUCAUAAAAUUAUGAGUCUCCUUUCCCAACUUAGAUACAUCGUACUCCAUGAAAACUCCAAUAAAAUUGCCCAGCUGUGUUGCUAGGCUUUCAGUAAAUAAACCUAUUGGGACAUCAUGAAUUUGUACCCAAAAAGGGCUAAAAAUUAGUGGUAUCGUCAAUGGAUUUUCUCCCCUUCUCAGUUUGCAGAGUAUUAAUAAAUGAUUAUUAAAAGUCCACGGUAAACCCUUCAGAACUCUUUCCAAAUCCAUACUGUGAAAAAAUUUAAAAAGGUACCUUUUUUCUCCCAGAUCUCGAAUUUGUACCCCACAGACAGGGUGCCACAAAUUUGCCAUGGUGCUUCUCAUAGUUGGAAAAUGUAUUAUGCUUGCUGUUAAAAAACAACCUACAAGCUGAAAAUCUUCACGUUCUUUUUGCAUGCAUGGAUCAGUCUGGAUCUGUAAAAUUUCCUCUUCUUCUUCAUUGAGCGACAAUUGUGCUAAUUCUGUUUCCAUGAUUGCAGGAAUUGAUGUUCAGAAAAACUCUCCCGUCCUCCCUAUCGUCUGAGCAAAAUUGUAUUCAAGCCGAUUUCAAGAAAAAAGAACAAAAGCAAUCUACGAAAAACCUAAAAAUAUCAUGCCAAAGGCGGCAGACAGAAACGUGCUAGGGUAGCAGACUACA
RNAcentral lists this long non-coding RNA (4325 nucleotides) under Gossypium raimondii (Peruvian cotton). Its description in RNAcentral is "long non-coding RNA (GRAI_LNC010394)". The record is from RNAcentral. Lineage: Eukaryota; Viridiplantae; Streptophyta; Magnoliopsida; Malvales; Malvaceae.